GAUGAAGAACGUAGCGAAAUGCGAUAAGUAGUGUGAAUUGCAGAAUUCAGUGAAUCAUCGAAUCUUUGAACGCACAUUGCGCCCCUUGGUAUUCCAGGGGGCAUGCCUGUUCGAGCGUCAUUUGUACCUUCAAGCUUUGCUUGGUGUUGGGUGUUUGUCCUGAGGGACUCGCCUUAAAGUAAUUGGCAGCCAGUGUUUGGUUUUGAAGCGCAGCACAAGUCGCGAUUCAAAGCUAUACGCCCGCUUCCACAAGCCUUUUUCACUUUUGACCUCGGAUCAGGUAGGGAUACCCGCUGAACUUAAGCAUAUCAAUAAGCGGAGGA
This 323-nucleotide unclassified non-coding RNA is filed under the name soil metagenome. Its description in RNAcentral is "partial contains 5.8S ribosomal RNA, internal transcribed spacer 2, and large subunit ribosomal RNA". The stretch from base 1 to 120 matches the Rfam family "5.8S ribosomal RNA", at positions 35 to 154 of the family's 154-position model. The record is from RNAcentral.